UCCCAAGUAGCUGGGAUUAGGCACAUGCCACCAUGGCCAAGUGAGAAGAAAACAUCAGAAGCAGCUGAGCAACUAGGAAGUGGGUCCUCUAGGGAUGAGGAGGCAUUGUGAUGGAUGGCUUUUUAAAAAUGUUUCUCCAGAGUCAUCUGCCUCAUGAUCAAUGGUUUUUGCCUCAGAUGUCUCUUUUUGAUAUCAACUGACAUGAUUUUUUUGUUUUGAAUGCACAUUGCUUUAGUCCUUCUUAAUAAGCCCAUCACAUUUUCACCAUUUUGCCUAUAUAUGCUUUUUCUGUGGUAUUAACGAGACUAUGCAUCAAAGCAGUUUUUAAAAGCAGUCCUGGCAAAUGGUUCAGAAACUGGUACAAAAUUGUCAGCUUUUUAUCACAUA
Long non-coding RNA from Sapajus apella (tufted capuchin), 387 nucleotides. RefSeq lists it as uncharacterized. The transcript is spliced from 2 exons. NCBI's taxonomy places the organism in Eukaryota, Metazoa, Chordata, Mammalia, Primates, Cebidae. The record is from RefSeq and is a predicted model, not a curated record.